Long non-coding RNA from Homo sapiens (human), 554 nucleotides. The record is from Ensembl. NCBI's taxonomy places the organism in Eukaryota, Metazoa, Chordata, Mammalia, Primates, Hominidae.
AGUCUCCUCUCUGACCAUCUGGAGGGCCACCCAUUCCUGAGGAACUGUUCCCCGAACAAGCAAGUAUGCAAGGGCAGAGGAUGAAUCAGACCCAGCAGGUCCCACUGAGGGCCCCCGUUGAAGAUCAGAGGGGUCUGGCAGGGCCUGUGGGACAUCCCGCCAUGCCUCGCUUCCUCCCCACACUGCUGCAGACAGGCUCUGCCCAGGACCUUUGUGAUGGGCAGGUCAACCUGACCAGAGGUGUGGAAACUUCUGGAUGCCUGCUCUUGUGAGUUCACCUCUAUGUCUACUCUACUGAGGCCUCUCCAUACAGGUAGAGUGACUUGUGGGAGGCCUGUUACAUCCUCAGGCCACACCUGGUAAGGGAAGCGCAGGUGGGUCCCACCUGCCCUGGUGCCCCCCUCAGGAUACCUGGGGGUAUAUACUUUUUCUCAUGCCACCCCCAGGCUCUGCCCAGAUGGGGCUGACGACUGGUUUUUGGGCUGGCAUCCGUGUUUCCGGGCGCUGCUUGCCCGUUCUCUCCCACCUGCCGGUUGAACCUUAAUCUCCUUUUG